Molecule: long non-coding RNA, 6531 nt
Filed under: Gossypium barbadense (sea-island cotton)
Lineage: Eukaryota; Viridiplantae; Streptophyta; Magnoliopsida; Malvales; Malvaceae
Description: long non-coding RNA (GBAR_LNC008833)
Source: RNAcentral
CCUGGUUCUGAUUCAUUUCAUUUCCCAGUGCUUACCAGCUCUCGAACCUUAACAAGGUUAAGUGAGAAAGCACCUAACCAUUGAGGACAAGAGGAGAGCCAGUAAAGCAUCUCCAUACUUUUUAAACUUAUUCUUCUACUACCAAAAGGGUUGGCCCUUGUGUGAAUAUUAUAUUAUAUAGCCUUUUUUUUUUGUUACAGUUGCUUGAGAUGUCAACAAAUAGCCCAAGUUGAAUGUUUUACAAGAAAGAAUAAAAUUAAUGAAAACGUGAAAUUUCCUAGUUUGAGAUUGUAAAGCCGAAUUAAUUCAAUAUAGUUUUUCUUUAUCUAUUAUCACAAUUAUGAAAUUAACUUUUUAAAUACUAAUUUGAUUCACCAUUUGUACUUUAUUAAGAAUAAAAUGCUAAAUUCUCUUUGUAAUAGUCAAUUUUGACCCAAUCUUUAAACCCAAUUCCCAACUAAAACCCAUUACAUAUUAAACCAAACAACCCAAAAUUUGAAGGCCAAAGUGGCCCAGAAUGUUUAAACAUUUGGAAACCCUAACCCUAGCCCCAACCCUAACCCUAACCCUAAACAUUUGUCGUUUCUACUUGUUCCUCACCAGCAGGGCCACCAUGCGCGCCGCUUCGUCGCAUUCCUCUGAUGCCUCUCUGACACCUGCAGACAAAACCCACACGCAACAACAGAGGAACAAGUAGAAACGACAAAAAAAAAUAGGAGUAAACAGUCUUGAAAAUCGGUUAUAAAAACCAGAAAUUUACCUUUGUAUUUUUUUUUAGCCACAAACAAAAGGCAGAGACUAUUAAUCUAAAAGAACCUUCGAAGGUGAUUGUUGUUUUUUUAUUUACGAGGGUUUUUCAUCUAGUUCUUUGUUUUGAUUUUAUAUUUUUUUUCAUUUUUUAGUUCUUUUAUUUUUUCAUAUACGAAAAUAAAUAAAAAGGUAAAGAGAAAGGUAACCUCACCUUGAUCUUCCCACGGACUCAUCACCGGAGAUCUCUUCUCCAAUCGCCGAAGUCGAGCCAAAGGGGGAGGGAGGACUUUUCUUUCGAUUUCUUUGGGGUUGAGAAGGCAUGGCCUUCGAGUAUGCCUCAAAACGAGGCUAAAAAGUCAAUCUCGGUGCUUCGUUGGCAACCGGGUACGAUGGUGGUGCGGCGGGCGGUGGAGAACCCGAUCGAUGGAGAGACAAAGGGGGGAGAGGAUAUUUGGAAGCUGUCAAAAAUUUUUUUAAAAGAAACAGCAGAUUAAUUUUUUUUUUUAAAAUUCUUUUAUGGAACAUGCGAAACGGCGUCGUUUAGGGCCGUUUCAGUGGCCUCAAAAAGGCACCGUAUAGGGCCAUCCAUGUGCAACCCGUGACCCGACCCGAAUGGAAGAGGAUCCGCUUGUUUUGUAGCCUUGGGGCUAUUUAUGCGAUGAGUCCCUCCGCAUUUUUGCAUCCUUUAAUUCAGUCCAGUCCUUACUUUUACGCUUCUUUUAAUUUAUCCAUACAGUUUCUGUUUUAAUUCAUUUUGGCCCUAAAAAAGGGUAGCGCACAGACGGGUCUGGGGCAUUUACAAUUUCGCCCCUUUAUGUUUUCGAUUUGUUGCGAAUCGACCCUCUAUAUUUCUUAAAAUUAAUUUAUAUAUAUUGCUUAUUUUAAAUUGUUUUACAUACCUUAUUUUGAACUCUAUUUAUUUAUUUUCAAAUGUUUUAUUAUUAUUAUUUACUUUAAUUUUUUAUACAUUAUUUCAUACUUUUGUGUGUGUAUAGACAUAUAUAUAUAUUAUCUAUUUUAAAGUCCUCCAUACAUAUAUCAUUCUUUCUUUCAAAAACGAAUCGUUUUGUAUAUUGUCGAUUUUAACUUUCUUUCUUUUCACAUUAUUUAUUUUAAAUUCAUUCACUGUCAUUUUAAAAUCUAUCUUGCUUUCAACUACUUAUUUUUAAAUUGUAUUAUUUAAUUCAUUUGUCCUUGAUUAUUAAUGAUUAGUAUUUAAAUGGUGCAUAUUGUGAAAUUAUUGCCAUUGCAUGUACUUUAAUUCGCUUAUACGUGUUCAUAUUAUUGUCAUUCGCUUGUGUAGUAUUUUAUUCAUGUAUCAUCGUUCCAUGUCGCACUAUAUUUUUAUUUCAUAUCAUCACCUCAUGAAUCAAGCUUCGUUACAUUUAUCAAAUAAAUCGUUUUAUUUUAAUCCAAAUAAAUCGUUUUAUUUUAAUCCAAACAAAUAAUGCAAGUCGUUUAAAUAUCAUACUCGCUAUUAUUCAAAAACAAAAAUUUCGAAAUAAGGCAAUGUUUCGCGUUUUGGAACAUCGAGGAAUUGUGCCUUAAUUUACGGGGUUUCGAUUUUCUCGUUGAUCCUAACUGGCCAAAUAUCCUUUUAAGUUCCAAAACACAUGAAAUUUCAAUUAAAAUUAAAGAUGAACUUGCGCUCUGGAGUUCAUGGUAUCGUGUCCUAACUUAUGGGAUGUGAUACUCUGAUAUCUCGAGACGAGGAAAUCUUUAGCAACCAUUUUGAUCUAAUUCAAGCGCCUUUAAAAUCUGCAUUAAUAAAAAAGGAUCGUAUUUUAAAUCCGUUCUCGAUUUUUAACUUUCGACAUUAAGACACUAACUAAUCAAUUCGGUACCAAUAUUGGCCGUGACGAUGGUGCUAAUCCUUCCUCGCACGUAAACGACUCCCGAACCCGUUCUCUUGAGUUUCGUAGACCAAAAACACCGUUUUAGUAAACUAAAUUGUUUUAUUAAAACAAAGGUGAUCCGAUCACACUUAAUAAAGAUCGGUGGUGACUCUUGUUUUAAUUUUCAUUUUCAAACAAAGUCUAUUCCCGUUUUCAAAAAAAUGGUUUCGACAGCUUGGCGACUCCACUGGGGACAUUUGAGAGUCAAGCCAUAAAUUGAUUAAUUUUUGUCCUUUGUCGAAAUUUGAAAAUUUGUUUUAAACUUACGAUCCCUUCAUUGCAUUUCAUUUUUGUAGUUUUCAUCAUUUUUAUGAUUGGUUUAUGGUUCGAGUUUCUUAGUACUUUUGCGCAUCAUAUUGCAUGAUUGGAUGAUUUUACCCUUUUUAAGUGGGAGUAAGAAGCUAUUCCUUCGUGAGGUAUUCACCUUCGUAUAGGAUAAUGGAUUGCUUUCGGGAUACAUCCGUAUCUACGUCUUUAUGAGAUUUUCAUCUCCGUAUAGCCGUAGGGAAAUGUGUUCCCUUAAACCGAACUCGGUCCGUAUGAACCUAUAAUGGGUUAGGAUCAAGGAAUCUGUAGGUUCAGGUACCCUUAUUCUAGAACCGAACAACAUAUAGAGAGACCUAGGAGCCUCCCCUAGGUAGAGCCACGCCAAACCCUAGUGGCCACCCAGAUAGGUGUUCUAUUUUGUUGAUUAUUUCUUCUGUACUGACGUAUUUUGUUUUGUUUUGUCUAUUAUUGCAUUGCAUUACAUCAUCAUAGAAAGAAGGUGUUGAUUCAUAUUUGAUUGCUAAAUAGAAGAGCUUAUCAUGAGAAAAUGGAUUUUUUGAUAAAGUGGAUUAUAAUACGGUUGUCCGAAUAUGGUCCAAGUGAACACAACGAAAGAAGGCUGAUAGUCUGUGGAGUAAUACAAAACUUUGUUUCAUUGCCCGAUGAUUUAAGCCGACAAAGAUUAUUCGAGAGCCGUCACAUAUUGACUUUCUUAAAGGAGCUGACGAGUAUCGCAGGGAUAAGUAAGCAAUGAGUCGCAGCCUGGAUCAAGCAAAAAGGAGUUAAUAGGGACAUCUUUUGGAAAAUUCGCAAGACUCGACCAUGACAUCCGGAUAUGAAAAGGAAGAUAGGUUUCUUCGCUUGGAAUAUGAGGGCAAGACAGCAUAUGUAAUCUGUUUUAUGUAAAGGAAUUUAUUUUCUAGAAAAGUUGUUCUAAUGAAAUUGAAUUCAGAAUCAAUGCUUUUUUUUUUCAUUCAUUUCAUACAUCUACAUUACAUUGCAUCAUAUGCAUUAAAAUUCACAAAGGGAUCCUGAUUAAUUAAAAUUAUAAUAGUUAAUAUGGAAACCAACAAGAGUCAACCAACCGGAUACCGCUACAAUACCCAUCGCAAAAUGAAAGCAAUGGAUCAGAGACUAGAAAGAUUAGAACAAAUGCAAAGGGAUAUGCAAGAGCAAUUGCAAGCACAGAUGCAAGAGCAACUAGCUAAAAUACAACAAGACAUGAGGGAACAAAUACAAGAGUCCCAAAAUAAUAUGAUAGGUCAGUUGGUGCAAUUACUAGCUAGGGAACGUGAAAAAGGGAAAAGCACCGCGGAUAACUCGGGGAACAAUAAUGAAAACCCUACCUAUCCCCCAGGUUUUACUCCGAUCAAUGUUCAGACACAACCAGAGGUGUACCCACGAGUGGUAUCCAUCACUAUCAGGCCCCAGCAAUACCAGGCCGGUGCCUCGGCAUCAAUAAACUUUUCAACAGGCUUAGGCUCCAAUCCGGGGGAUAAUCUAUCCAAUCCCUUUGUCCCUGACCUUGAUAACGUGGCAGGAAUAGAAAAGGUAGGAGUAGAUCUGCCAAAGCAACUUGAAGACUAAUGGAAGUGGCUAUAGAAAAAAUUCAAAGCAAUGGAGACUGCUGAUUACCGUUGCGGGAUCGAUGCUAAGGACUUAAGCUUGGUCCUAGAUCUGGUGCUUCCACCAAAGUUUAAGACUCCGAAAUUUGAAAAGUAUAAUGGGACUAGCUGCCCUGAAGCUCACAUUACGAUGUUUUGUCGAAGGAUGACAGGAUACAUUAACAAUGAUCAGCUGUUAAUUCACUGUUUCCAAGAUAGUUUAAUUGGGUUUGUGGCCAAGUGGUAUAACCAGCUAAGUCGUGCCCAAAUUGGUACAUAGAAGGACUUGGCUCAAGCUUUCAUGAAACAAUACGGUCACGUAAUGGACAUAGCACCCGAUAGAAUUACACUACAAAACAUGGAAAAGAAACCCAAUAAGAGCUUCAGGCAGUAUGCCCAACGAUGGAGGGAGAUAGCGAUGCAAGUCCAAGCCCCUCUUCUAGAGAAAGAAACUAUGAUACUUUUCGUCAACACUCUGAAAGCCCCAUUCAUUACCCAUAUGUUGGGAAGCGCUACCAUGAGCUUCUCAGAUGUGGUAAUGUCCGGCAAGAUGGUUGAAAAUGUAAUUAGGAGCGGGAGGAUAGACACGGGAGAAAGCGCCAUGAGGUCAAACCCAAAGAGAAAUGAAAAUGAAGUGAAUAAUAUGAGCAAAGGGUAUUCUAAAUCGGUCACUGUAGACCAGCCAAAGAUAGUCACCACCAACCAUCAGGCCUCUCCGAGACAAGCAGAAAGGCUCCAAUUCACACCUAUCCUGAUGACAUACAAGGAGCUCUAUCAGAAUCUGUUUAAUGCGUAUGUGGUAUCUUCAUUCUACUCUGAACCCGUGCAACCUCCAUUCUUAAAAUGGUAUGAUGCGAAUGCCCAAUGCGAGUAUCACGAAGGAAUAACAGGGCACUCAACCGAAAACUGCACUACAUUUAAAAAGUUGAUCGAAAGGCUCAUUAAAAUGGGAAUUUUGAAGUUCGACGAUUCAUCAGAACCUAAUCGCUUUGAUAAGGCAGUGAAUGCGAUAACUGAAGGAUGUUGCAAGAGAGUUGCGAUCCCUUGAAAAAGAAGUUUGGAGGAAAUAUCGAGGAAUCUGGACCUUAACAACGUAUCCAAAGAGAGAACCGAGGAAUAAAGGUUUCCAAUCCCUUGCAUACUUGGGAGUGUUUUGAACAAUGGGACUGUGGAAGAAAUCCUUGUAUUUUUAGAGCUAAUUCGGGGUAAUGUCCAAAACAUGCCUAUUGCUCUAAGCCUAGGAGCACUAAGAGGCCUUUUGUGAAAUAGGCUUAUGUCCAAAAUUUUUAUUUCAAUAAAAUGCAUCUUUGCUAUUGUAAUGGGCCAAAAUUGCCGUUGCCUAAGUCCUACAAACAAUAAACAGAAAAAAAGCCCAAAACUCUACAAUGGCUCAAAUCAGAAAAGAACCCUAGGUUACUCCUAGUCACCCACGCCGCAACCCCCACAUUUAGCACCUCUCCACCACGCACGUCGGCACGCCCCCCAGCUUGCACAUCCACGCCCCACGAUCGUGCACUUUUCCUCCACAACCUAACAGCACUUGCGAUUGGAGCAAAGAAAUAGGCAGAAACUGCUUGUAUUUUGGCUAUAAAGCCUUCGAUUUUUUUCAUUGUAAAAGGGGGAUUUUUUUUACCUUUUUUUUCAGAGAAAUAGAAUACGGAUACAAUAGCAAAAUACAAAGAAAACAUUGAAAUACAGAGAAAUCAAAUCAAUUGAAAAAGGUUGUGAUUAUUCCUUUUCUAAUUUAUCUUGUUUUUUCUCUUCUUUUUUGAGUAUGGUCUUACUUUGUGAUUGCAAAAAAAACAAAAGAAUAAGGAAGGAAGAGGGCUUACCAGAACAUAGCUUUGAAUCAAGGUUGAAAACCCAUUUUUUAAGUACUGCUGGCCAUCGAGUGUGGUGGUGUUUCGGUCUUGCGGUGAGGGGAAAGAACCAAUCGGCGCGUGGAGAUUGGAAUGUAGCCUUAGCAGAGCAAGAAUGGAAACCCCAUUUUUUUAAUUCAAUGCAAAUGGUUUUGG